AGCGAACGCUGGCGGCAGGCUUAACACAUGCAAGUCGAACGGGCACUUCGGUGCUAGUGGCAGACGGGUGAGUAACACGUGGGAACGUACCUUUCGGUUCGGAAUAAUACAGGGAAACUUGUACUAAUACCGGAUACGCCCUUUGGGGGAAAGAUUUAUCGCCGAUUGAUCGGCCCGCGUCUGAUUAGCUAGUUGGUGAGGUAAUGGCUCACCAAGGCGACGAUCAGUAGCUGGUCUGAGAGGAUGAUCAGCCACACUGGGACUGAGACACGGCCCAGACUCCUACGGGAGGCAGCAGUGGGGAGUAUUGGACAAUGGGCGCAAGCCUGAUCCAGCCAUGCCGCGUGAGUGAUGAAGGCCUUAGGGUUGUAAAGCUCUUUUGUCCGGGAAGAUAAUGACUGUACCGGAAGAAUAAGCCCCGGCUAACUUCGUG
This 433-nucleotide ribosomal RNA is filed under the name uncultured bacterium. RNAcentral describes it as "partial 16S ribosomal RNA". It matches the Rfam family "Bacterial small subunit ribosomal RNA", at positions 29 to 507 of the family's 1533-position model. The record is from RNAcentral.